Molecule: RNA transcript, 2379 nt
Organism: Phoenix dactylifera (date palm)
Lineage: Eukaryota; Viridiplantae; Streptophyta; Magnoliopsida; Arecales; Arecaceae
Gene: PHT4;5
Gene name: phosphate transporter 4;5
Source: RefSeq, a predicted model, not a curated record
UCGACGGCGCGCGUAGUCCGCGGCUGUUUGUCGCGUGGCUCUUUCCGCUCCUUUCAAAACACGAGAAGUAAAAGAACAAAGGAGAAAAAGAAACCGGAGGAGGAAAGAAGCAAUAGCGAAGGCAGAGAGAGCAGUUAAUUUAUCACUAAUCGAUCAAGAACCGGAUCGGAAAAAGAUCUUGUUCGGAUGGCGGCCAACUUCGCUCUCCGAUCCGACCGUUGCCCCCUCCUCCACCGACCCCCGCCCCUCCUCUAUUUAAACCCCCAGCGCGCCCUCUCCCGUCGCCCCCGCUUCCUUCUCCCCUCCGGUCGGCGACGUCCGGGUUUCAGGGUUUCCUCCUCCGGCGGCCGGAGGAAAGGGGAGGAGGAGAAGAGGGGUGGGGUUCUCAUCGACGUCCAGCGGGAUGAGGCCUCGCAAGUUGGAACUGAUGUCGAGGAGGAAGGAGGAGGACGGGGUGUGGUAUUGGAUGGGAGCUAUGAAGGGUUUGAGUGGAAGUGGCCGCCUUGGAGGGAUUUGCCGCUGCGGUAUAAGCUCAUCGGGACGACAUCUCUUGCCUUUGUCAUCUGCAACAUGGACAAGGUUAACCUGAGCAUUGCCAUCAUUCCGAUGUCACAUCAGUUUGGGUGGAAUUCAUCAACAGCUGGCUUGGUUCAAUCUUCAUUCUUUUGGGGCUAUGCGUUGAGUCAAUUGCCUGGGGGAUCGCUUGCUAAGUUAUUUGGUGGAAGGAAAGUUCUUAAAGUUGGUGUUCUUGCUUGGUCCUUAGCCACAAUUCUUGUUCCAUUUGUAGCAGGAUUUAUGCCAGGGCUGGUUUUGUCAAGAAUUUUGGUUGGGGUAGGAGAAGGUGUUUCUCCAUCAGCUGCAACUGACUUAAUUGCAAGAUCUAUUCCCUUGCAAGAACGCUCAAGAGCAGUUGCAGUUGUUUUUGGUGGUUUGAGUGUAGGAAGCAUCUUGGGGCUUCUGCUGGCUCCUUCCAUUAUCCAAAAUUUUGGUUGGGAAUCUGUAUUUUACAUAUUUGGCUUUCUUGGGAUUAUUUGGUGUUUGGGAUUUGAGUUUGUUAAAGAAGGGCAAUCACCAUUUGAUGCAGAAUACCUUUUUGGCUUGAGAAAGGGACCAUCAGGCAUCAGAAACUCUUUGUUUACAUCUGUAUAUACAAGAAAUUCAUGGAGUUCAUCUUUCAAAGAAUUGGGCGACUCUCUCAAGGAUGUACCAUGGAAGGCAUUUUUCAAGAGUCCUGCAGUUUGGGCAAUGAUAUAUGCUCACUUCUGUGGAAGUUGGGGCCACUACACUUGUUUAUCUUGGCUACCUACAUAUUUUAGUGAGGAGCUGGACUUAAACUUGAUGGAAGCUGCAUGGGUUUCAAUCCUCCCUUCUUUGGGUUCGAUUCUUAUUACCUCCAUUGCAGCCCCUUUUGCAGACAACCUAAUCUCCAGUGGAGUUGAGACCACAGUGGUGAGAAAAAUUUGCCAAACAAUUGCCUUUAUGUCUCCCGCAGUUUGCAUGACUCUUUCCUCUGUGGAUCUAGGCCUGCCACCUUGGGAAAUUGUAGCAUUUCUUACUGGUGGUUUGGCACUGUCAAGUUUUGCCUUGUCAGGACUGUAUUGUACCCAUCAAGACAUUUCUCUUGAAUAUGCGAGUAUACUAUUGGGUAUCACAAACACAGUAGGGGCAGUACCUGGGAUAGUUGGUGUUGCCCUCACAGGCUAUCUUCUUGAUUUGACCCAUUCAUGGAGUAUAUCAUUGUUUGCCCCAUCAAUCUUCUUCUAUUUAACUGGUACGGUUGUAUGGCUAGUAUUUGCCAGCAGUAAACCUCAGGACUUUUCUAAGUGAGAUUCGUCACAACAACACUCUUCCGAAGCAUUCUUGGUGAACUUGUGACCAACCAUAUCCAAUAGAAGAAAGGAUGCACCAUUGGAUCUGAAAAGGUGAUUGAAUUUAAUGACAUCCAUCAGUCUUCAUUUUCUAAUCAUGGAGGUGUGAAGGAGAGCAUGUGACUGAAAAAAGAAAAAGAAGGAUUCUUGGUUUUUGUCACGAUGUUGAUGCAGCGAAAUGACUAGCGAACUAAUUAGCAACUGAAGCAUUGCAGCUGCUCAGGCACAGAAUGACUAUUCCCUUAUCUAGGAACACUUGAUCACCAAUUAGAAAUUUGUGGAUUUAUGUAUUGAAAGAGCUUCAAGGUUGUACAGAAGAAAUUUUCAUUCUAGUGAUAAAAUAUUAUCUACUAUGGUGCUUGUUACUAUUUUUUAAAAUCCUUGCUCUUGUUAUAGUACUCUCCAUACUAUAUCUGCUUCUGCUUCCACAACUGUGAUUAUUAUAGAACAUAUGUAACAAAAUUGACUUGCACACUCAUUCUUUUAUCAAAGAAUAUGCGUCUUAGCAAUG